Rhinopithecus roxellana (golden snub-nosed monkey) is the source of this 363-nucleotide long non-coding RNA. RefSeq lists it as uncharacterized. Lineage: Eukaryota; Metazoa; Chordata; Mammalia; Primates; Cercopithecidae. The record is from RefSeq and is a predicted model, not a curated record. The transcript has 3 exons.
CCGUCUCAAAAAAAAAAAAAAAAAAAAGAAUUCUGUAAGUCAUAUACUUUCUGCCAGAGUUUCUACUGUAAUGAGGAUAAAAGAGAUUAACUACCUACCAAGGAUGUUUCUCACAUGGAAAACCACAAAUGUGAUCACAUCAAAAGUUAAGUAUCAGCAAGUUUCCGCCAUCCAUGGGGAAGGAAUCAGAAAAAUGAGCCUUACAAUUUGGAGGGUUAGUACAAGCAUCUUCCAGUUUCUUUUUCUUACUCUCGGGCAUUAAAUCAUCCAACCAGCUGAGUUCCCGCUUCGUGAACAACAAGUCCAUCAACUUUCUUACAAAUACCAGGGCUAACACCUGAAGUAAAUAAUAAACUAGUUUAA